Molecule: ribosomal RNA, 585 nt
Filed under: uncultured bacterium
Lineage: Bacteria
Description: partial 16S ribosomal RNA
Rfam family: Bacterial small subunit ribosomal RNA
Source: RNAcentral
UGGGGAAUUUUGGACAAUGGGCGAAAGCCUGAUCCAGCAAUGCCGCGUGUGUGAAGAAGGCCUUCGGGUUGUAAAGCACUUUUGUCCGGAAAGAAAUCCUUGGCUCUAAUACAGUCGGGGGAUGACGGUACCGGAAGAAUAAGCACCGGCUAACUACGUGCCAGCAGCCGCGGUAAUACGUAGGGUGCAAGCGUUAAUCGGAAUUACUGGGCGUAAAGCGUGCGCAGGCGGUUUGCUAAGACCGAUGUGAAAUCCCCGGGCUCAACCUGGGAACUGCAUUGGUGACUGGCAGGCUAGAGUAUGGCAGAGGGGGGUAGAAUUCCACGUGUAGCAGUGAAAUGCGUAGAGAUGUGGAGGAAUACCGAUGGCGAAGGCAGCCCCCUGGGCCAAUACUGACGCUCAUGCACGAAAGCGUGGGGAGCAAACAGGAUUAGAUACCCUGGUAGUCCACGCCCUAAACGAUGUCAACUGGUUGUUGGGGAUUCAUUUCCUUAGUAACGUAGCUAACGCGUGAAGUUGACCGCCUGGGGAGUACGGUCGCAAGAUUAAAACUUAAAGGAAUUGACGGGGUCAUAGCUGUUUCCU